UAAUUCAUCAAGAAAAUAGAAUAAAAUCCAUUUGCAUCUCGUGAUCAAGAUCUCAAAUUAAAAUUACCCACAUCAUUAUAAAAAUAUUUUUGAAACCACUUUUUAAAAAUUACCUCAUUAAAAAAUCUCGGGAUAAAAGUGGACGUUGGAGAAUGUAGCAAAGUAAGGAUGCAGAAAAAACGAUGACAAAAAAUGUACAUGUAUGUAUAAUUAUUUGUGCUUACUUGCAAAGUUAUGUUUGUCCUUUUGGAAUACGAGAAAUCGUUCAUGACAUAUUGGUGUUGGAAUACUGAAAAUGGGAAUUAGAAAAGCUCUCUCCUUAUGAAAGCUGGAGUUUAAUAGACAGGAACAUGUACAGGAUGUUUAUACAAAAACAAUGUAAACAUCUGCAAUCUGCUCCUUUAAAGAAAAUUGAGUGAAAUCCCAUCUAAUACUGUUUCCUUUCUGUAACUUAUAAAAUGUUCUUUGUAGCUUCACGCCUGACUGUUUAGAGAUAUUCUCUUUAUGUAUGUAUUUAUAUAUAAAUAAGUCAGUACAUGCUGGGUUGUGCCCAGUGCUGGCUUUGCAGUGUGCCACACACACACACCCGUACUGUCACUGCAAAAGACAGAAAAAAAAACACAGCGACACGAACGAGCAGCCUCGGCGCCUGGCAUCGUUUGCAAUAAUGUGUCGCAUCCCCUCUAACAUUAUCCAAGCUUGAUCCACCUGCCCGCAGCCAAGGACGAUGUUAGCAACAUUGCAGAUACAAGUAAACUGGUAAGGUUUUAUUGCCCGUACUGAUGGCAAAGUGCACUUCCAGUCCAUAGAUAUUAUUAAAUUAAAAUAUCAACGCAAAAUACAAUAAUGUAAUUAUAUGCUUCAUUAAAUCAAAUGCUGAAGACAGAGAUAGCAUCAGUGAAUGGUUGAACAAAAGAACGACGCAUUGGUGUAGGGAUAAACUGCAGAUGCUGGUUUAAAGCGAAGAUGGACACAAAAAGACACAAAGUACUGGAGUAACUCAGCGGGCCAAGCAGCAUCUCUGGAAAAAAGGAAUAGGCGACGUUUCAGAUCGAGACCCUUUGGCGUAUUGAAUAUGAAUCGCUCACCGUGGGAUCCUUGAUCCUUGAUUGAACAUUGUAUCAUUUUCAACGAAUUUAGUCCUUAUUGUGGAUGGCACGGUGGCAUAGUGGUAGAGCUACUGCCUUACAGCAUUAGAGACCCGGGUUCGAUCUGUCUGUGGGUUUGAUCCUGACACAUGACCUGCGUGGGUUUUCUUCGAGAACUUCGGUUUCCACCCACACUCCAAAGACGUACAGAUGGGUCAUCCAUCAGGAACCAUCAGAAUCUCUGGAAUUUUGAAAGCUGGAAAUCAGACAUCCACUUUCUCAUUAACUAUCUCCUUCAAAACUGUAGUUCACAGGUGCUGGACAUUUAUUCAUUUCAGGCUAUACUAAUUCCGUUUUAUAUUGGACCCUUGUUCUCAAGUAUUUGCGAGAGUAUUUUUCUGUGCAGCCAGAUAUAAAAUAUUUGUUUAUUUCCUCCCAUUUUCCUUUUCUGCAUGAUAACUGUGGGCGAUGAAACACUGGAACUUUUGCUCUUUCAUUCCCAGAGAUACAAAUGCACCUUUCAGAGGAGACAAUUAUUAAUUUACGCCUUUGGCAUUUCAUGUAGUGCACUUGGUGUUGUUUCUGUAAUAAAAAUAAUAAAACAUUUUCACCUUAAAAGCUGUCGGUGGCUAUUUCC
Molecule: long non-coding RNA, 1725 nt
Organism: Leucoraja erinaceus (little skate)
Lineage: Eukaryota; Metazoa; Chordata; Chondrichthyes; Rajiformes; Rajidae
Exons: 5
Source: RefSeq, a predicted model, not a curated record